CAGCAGCCGCGGUAAUACAGAGGGUGCAAGCGUUAAUCGGAAUUACUGGGCGUAAAGCGCGCGUAGGUGGUUUGUUAAGUUGGAUGUGAAAUCCCCGGGCUCAACCUGGGAACUGCAUUCAAAACUGACUGACUAGAGUAUGGUAGAGGGUGGUGGAAUUUCCUGUGUAGCGGUGAAAUGCGUAGAUAUAGGAAGGAACACCAGUGGCGAAGGCGACCACCUGGACUAAUACUGACACUGAGGUGCGAAAGCGUGGGGAGCAAACAGGAUUAGAUACCCCAGUAGUCCCUGUCUCUUAUAA
Molecule: ribosomal RNA, 301 nt
Filed under: uncultured bacterium
Lineage: Bacteria
Description: partial 16S ribosomal RNA
Rfam family: Bacterial small subunit ribosomal RNA
Source: RNAcentral